This 253-nucleotide ribosomal RNA is filed under the name uncultured bacterium. RNAcentral describes it as "partial 16S ribosomal RNA". It matches the Rfam family "Bacterial small subunit ribosomal RNA", at positions 524 to 776 of the family's 1533-position model. The record is from RNAcentral.
UACGAAGGGGGCGAGCGUUGUUCGGAAUUACUGGGCGUAAAGGGCGCGUAGGCGGCCGAUCAAGUCAGGCGUGAAAUUCCCGGGCUCAACCUGGGGGCUGCGCUUGAUACUGAUUGGCUUGAAUGCGGGAGAGGAUAGUGGAAUUCCCAGUGUAGAGGUGAAAUUCGUAGAUAUUGGGAAGAACACCGGUGGCGAAGGCGGCUAUCUGGCCCGUAAUUGACGCUGAGGCGCGAAAGCGUGGGGAGCAAACAGG